Molecule: ribosomal RNA, 252 nt
Filed under: uncultured bacterium
Lineage: Bacteria
Description: partial 16S ribosomal RNA
Rfam family: Bacterial small subunit ribosomal RNA
Source: RNAcentral
UACGUAGGGGGCAAGCGUUGUCCGGAAUUAUUGGGCGUAAAGCGCGCGCAGGCGGUUAUUUAAGUCUGGGGUUUAAACCUUGGGCUCAACCUGAGGUCGCACUGGAAACUGGGUGACCUGAGUACAGAAGAGGAAAGUGGAAUUCCACGUGUAGCGGUGAAAUGCGUAGAUAUGUGGAGGAACACCAGUGGCGAAGGCGACUUUCUGGGCUGUAACUGACGCUGAGGCGCGAAAGCGUGGGGAGCAAACAGG